This 208-nucleotide unclassified non-coding RNA is filed under the name Hevea brasiliensis (rubber tree). The record is from RNAcentral. Lineage: Eukaryota; Viridiplantae; Streptophyta; Magnoliopsida; Malpighiales; Euphorbiaceae.
GUGGAUGAAUCGGAAGUUGUAACAGAGUGGUCUUCAUUUGCAUGUUUUUCAUCAGCUUUAAUGGCAGAAACUAGAAUUGUUUUGGGAUUUGAAAGGGUGAAAUUUGGUUUCGAAGUUGAAAAUCGAACAACGUGGGGAAAACCCAGAUGGGAAAUAGAGGAAUAGAGAGAAAUGGAAGGUCUAUUGAGGGUGGAGUGAGAUGAAACAG